GAUGAACGCUAGCUACAGGCUUAACACAUGCAAGUCGAGGGGAAACGAUGAGAGAGCUUGCUCUCUCAGGCGUCGACCGGCGCACGGGUGAGUAACGCGUAUCCAACCUGCCCAUUACAGGGGAAUAACCUUGCGAAAGUAAGACUAAUGCCCCAUAGUAUUCUCAGCAGACAUCUAAUGAGAAUUAAAGAUUUAUCGGUAAUGGAUGGGGAUGCGUCUGAUUAGCUUGUUGGCGGGGUAACGGCCCACCAAGGCAACGAUCAGUAGGGGUUCUGAGAGGAAGGUCCCCCACAUUGGAACUGAGACACGGUCCAAACUCCUACGGGAGGCAGCAGUGAGGAAUAUUGGUCAAUGGGCGAGAGCCUGAACCAGCCAAGUAGCGUGCAGGAUGACGGCCCUAUGGGUUGUAAACUGCUUUUAUAGGGGAAUAAAGUGAUCCACGUGUGGAUUAUUGUAUGUACCCUAUGAAUAAGGACCGGCUAAUUCCGUGCCAGCAGCCGCGGUAAUACGGAAGGUUCGGGCGUUAUCCGGAUUUAUUGGGUUUAAAGGGAGCGUAGGCCGUAGAUUAAGCGUGUUGUGAAAUGUAGAUGCUCAACAUCUGACUUGCAGCGCGAACUGGUUUACUUGAGUGUGCACAACGUAGGCGGAAUUCGUCGUGUAGCGGUGAAAUGCUUAGAUAUGACGAAGAACUCCGAUUGCGAAGGCAGCUUACGGGAGCACAACUGACGCUGAAGCUCGAAGGUGCGGGUAUCAAACAGG
RNAcentral lists this ribosomal RNA (759 nucleotides) under uncultured Prevotella sp. RNAcentral describes it as "bacterial SSU rRNA". It matches the Rfam family "Bacterial small subunit ribosomal RNA", at positions 28 to 776 of the family's 1533-position model. Lineage: Bacteria; Pseudomonadati; Bacteroidota; Bacteroidia; Bacteroidales; Prevotellaceae. The record is from RNAcentral.